AAUUCUCAACUGUGAUGGGUUUAUUCACAUCAUCAGCUUGGAUCUGAGGGCUUUUGUCGGACUCUAACGAGGUCGACUCCCUUUAAAUUUAUUAGCGGAUUUAGCCAUCGUGGAUACGCCUCGAUUUGAUAAUAUCUAUGUCGUCGCGCUGAAGCGGUAAUCUGCUCCUAACCGUCCUAGGACAAUUUUCAUGACC
Molecule: unclassified non-coding RNA, 196 nt
Filed under: uncultured Mycenaceae
Lineage: Eukaryota; Fungi; Basidiomycota; Agaricomycetes; Agaricales; Mycenaceae
Description: sequence contains ITS2
Source: RNAcentral